GAUGAGCCAGAUUUAGCACUUUUAUUAAAGUGCAAAAUGAUUUUAACUGAAGAGUUUGAUCAUGGCUCAGAUUGAACGCUGGCGGCAGGCUUAACACAUGCAAGUCGAGCGGGGAGAUGUAGCUUGCUACAUCACCUAG
This 139-nucleotide ribosomal RNA is filed under the name Acinetobacter sp. ANC 4558. Its description in RNAcentral is "partial 16S ribosomal RNA". The stretch from base 44 to 139 matches the Rfam family "Bacterial small subunit ribosomal RNA", at positions 1 to 95 of the family's 1533-position model. Lineage: Bacteria; Pseudomonadati; Pseudomonadota; Gammaproteobacteria; Moraxellales; Moraxellaceae. The record is from RNAcentral.